CUACGGGUCGCAGCAGUGAGGAAUAUUGCACAAUGGGGGGAACCCUGAUGCAGCAACGCCGCGUGGAGGAUGACGCAUUUCGGUGUGUAAACUCCCUUUAUAUGUCAAGAAAAUGACGGUAGCAUAUGAAUAAGCACCGGCUAACUCCGUGCCAGCAGCCGCGGUAAUACGGAGGGUGCAAGCGUUACUCGGAAUCACUGGGCGUAAAGGACGCGUAGGCGGGUUGGAAAGUCAGGUGUGAAAUCCUACAGCUUAACUGUAGAACUGCACUUGAAACUUCUAAUCUAGAGUAUGGGAGGGGGAGAUGGUAUUAGUGGUGUAGGGGUAAAAUCCGUAGAUAUCACUAGGAAUACCUAAAGCGAAGGCGAUCUCCUGGAACAUUACUGACGCUAAGGCGUGAAAGCGUGGGGAGCAAACAGGAUUAGAUACCCUCGUAGUC
Molecule: ribosomal RNA, 439 nt
Filed under: uncultured bacterium
Lineage: Bacteria
Description: partial 16S ribosomal RNA
Rfam family: Bacterial small subunit ribosomal RNA
Source: RNAcentral